Molecule: transfer RNA, 76 nt
Filed under: Richelia sp. RM2_1_2
Lineage: Bacteria; Bacillati; Cyanobacteriota; Cyanophyceae; Nostocales; Nostocaceae
Description: tRNA-His
Rfam family: tRNA
About the family: Transfer RNA (tRNA) molecules are approximately 80 nucleotides in length. Their secondary structure includes four short double-helical elements and three loops (D, anti-codon, and T loops). Further hydrogen bonds mediate the characteristic L-shaped molecular structure. tRNAs have two regions of fundamental functional importance: the anti-codon, which is responsible for specific mRNA codon recognition, and the 3' end, to which the tRNAs corresponding amino acid is attached (by aminoacyl-tRNA synthetases). tRNAs cope with the degeneracy of the genetic code in two manners: having more than one tRNA (with a specific anti-codon) for a particular amino acid; and 'wobble' base-pairing, i.e. permitting non-standard base-pairing at the 3rd anti-codon position.
Source: RNAcentral
GUGAUCAUAGUGUAGCGGCUCUGCACGUCGAACUGUGAAUUCGAAAGUUCGGGUUCAACCCCCGAUGAUCACCCCA